RNAcentral lists this ribosomal RNA (492 nucleotides) under uncultured bacterium. Its description in RNAcentral is "partial 16S ribosomal RNA". It matches the Rfam family "Bacterial small subunit ribosomal RNA", at positions 29 to 507 of the family's 1533-position model. The record is from RNAcentral.
AGUGAACGCUGGCGGUAGGCCUAACACAUGCAAGUCGAACGGCAGCACAGUAAGAGCUUGCUCUUACGGGUGGCGAGUGGCGGACGGGUGAGGAAUACAUCGGAAUCUACUUUUUCGUGGGGGAUAACGUAGGGAAACUUACGCUAAUACCGCAUACGACCUACGGGUGAAAGCAGGGGAUCUUCGGACCUUGCGCGAUUGAAUGAGCCGAUGUCGGAUUAGCUAGUUGGCGGGGUAAAGGCCCACCAAGGCGACGAUCCGUAGCUGGUCUGAGAGGAUGAUCAGCCACACUGGAACUGAGACACGGUCCAGACUCCUACGGGAGGCAGCAGUGGGGAAUAUUGGACAAUGGGCGCAAGCCUGAUCCAGCCAUACCGCGUGAGUGAAGAAGGCCUUCGGGUUGUAAAGCCCUUUUGUUGAGAAAGAAAAGCAGCAGGUUAAUCCCCCGCUGUUCUGACGGUACCCAAAGAAUAAGCACCGGCUAACUUCGUG